This 659-nucleotide long non-coding RNA is filed under the name Equus caballus (horse). RNAcentral describes it as "lncRNA (ENSECAG00000054079.1)". The record is from RNAcentral. Lineage: Eukaryota; Metazoa; Chordata; Mammalia; Perissodactyla; Equidae.
AAAAGAUGCUAAAAGCAGUCCUUCAAAAGGAAAUGAAAGGAUACCAGAGAAUGACUUGAAGCCGUAUGAAGAAUUACACUGGGUAAUCUCCAUCUGUGAAAGACUGUAUAGGAAGUAGGAUGCCUCCUGCUACUACAGAAGCUGGAGAGUGGAUAUGUGACCCAAAUCAGCCACAUCAGGACUUGGCAUCUUAAAGGACUGACACGAUGGUCCAGGGACAUUAUUCGAUAAGGCAGCGGCAGGGUUGAGAGUCCAUUGGAUGGUGAAGGUACUCUGUUGGGAACACCUGGUUUCUGCCCUCAAAGUGCUUAGAGUACAGGAGACGGGACAGAACUAUAAAUAAAUUGUGCCUGGACAGGUGUAUCGUGGACACUGUGGUACACUGCCAGUCCCCCCGUCAAGACUAAGACACUUUGCCCCCACCUAUGGGAAUGUGUUAAUGUUAAAGGCUCACAGAUGAGUACAUCCUCAGGAAUUGCCCUUGGCUCACAGGAGCUGCCUCCCGCAAGGUUAUGACCUCUAGAGCUGGGGCAGUCCACAUCCCAUGACAGCGACUGGUUGCUGAGAGGGUACAAGGACCAUCUUCGAAGCUUGCCUCCACUGUAGACAACACUGAAGGGUCAUCCCAGUCCCAGAGCUCCCUGCGGGAUCAGCUGAGG